This 804-nucleotide long non-coding RNA is filed under the name Mytilus galloprovincialis (Mediterranean mussel). Lineage: Eukaryota; Metazoa; Mollusca; Bivalvia; Mytilida; Mytilidae. The record is from RNAcentral.
GUGGCAGUAAACUUCGGAUACAAUUCAUAAUCUAGAUACCCUAAGGAACAUUAAUUAAAGUUUGAAGGUAUUUGGCCCAGUAGUUUCAGAGGAGAAGAUUUUUUAAAUAGUUUGCCACGACAGAUGACAAAAUUACCAAUUCAGUGGCAGUAACCCAACAAUGGUUUGUUAGAUUUGUCUGAAUAUUUCAGGGCUGGUAGAUCUUGACCUGUUUAACGUUUUUGCCUCGUGUCAAAUUUGCUCUAAAUGCUUUAAUUUUUGAGAUAUAAGCCAAACACUGCUUUUGACCCCUAUGUUCUAUUUUUAGCCAUGGCGGCCAUGUUUGCUGAUGGAUUUCUAAUAAUUUCAUAUAUCUAAAACAGGUAAAUAUGACACCUUAACUGAAUACAAUUUUUAAAUUGUCCUUGAAUGGAGAAAAAAUUUGAAUGUGUUGCAUUAAAAUACAUAUUAUUAUUAGUAUCUACAUACUGAAUAUGUGUUGAAAGCUACUUUGUGUGAAAAUCUAUUUAAGAAAUGACAGUACUAUUUUUUCUGUCUAUGAAGAAAUAACAUCAAAAAUGUGGUACACACUGAAUAACCCGCGUAGCUAGCUAUUUUGGAAAUGUGCACCACAUUUUUCAUGUUAUUUCGAAUAGACAAUAUUUGAAAAUAUUACAGUCAUCUCUUAAAAAUAUAAUUCUAAAUUCCAUUUUAAACCGUAGGAAACCAUGAAAACGUUGAUGACGUCACGGUCACAUGACAAAAUUAUGCCUGAUAAACAAAACAACGUCAGCCAAUCAGAAGACGCGUUACAUCCAAAAUUAA